UGAACACACCCAUUAAACAAUAAACAACCAAGUUCCUCCAGUAGCUGUGCAGCAGACCUGCACAUGUCCACACUGGCAGACAUCUGAGACAUCUUCUGUCCAGACGUUAAUCUUCUGGAAUAAAUAAUGUGUGUGUGUUCUUUUGUUUUGUAGAUGUUUUAGUGGGAAAAAAAACAUCAGAUACAAAUCACUUUUGUUGCAGCUCCAGCUGAAUUUCAUAAUGCUUCCUGUCUGUGUUGUUUCCUCAGUCUGUUCCUGUUGUGUCUCCUCCCCUCUGUGUGUGUGUCUGUGUUUCAUUGGCAGGGACAGGGCACAGCUGGUGGAGCCUGACACUCUUCUUCAUUCAUCUCAUUACCUGCUGUAUAAGAACCCAGCUCUCUCUCAACUCCACGCCUGAUACUUGUGCUACUGAUGUGGUGUGGUCGCUUAUUUCAAGUGAAGCUUCUAGUGAUUAUACUCAGUUCUUCUUGAUGAAUUGUAGUACUCUGUACUGUACGUCUCUGCUCUGGGGUUCUGGUCAAACAAACUUUUCCAAGCACAGUAUUUCUGUGUGUAUUAAAAUGUCUGGGGGCGUCUUUGAUGUUUCAGAUGUUCUGAACACUGUAAAAUACAAAAGGCAGUAUUGUGACAUGUGAUGGUGUUAUUAUGAAGUGGACAGAGGAAUGUCCAGAGGAAGUGAAAGAUUUAAAGGGAACAAGGAGUGUUAGCUUUUGCCACACUUAGCAGCAAGUUUCAGUUUUCAGUUCAAACACAAUGUCUUAUGAUUACUGUCACUUUUAUUGAUGCACUGUAACAUUUGUGUUUGUAUGUCACUGGAGGAAUAUUCCAGCAGGUUCUCUGAUGAUUGACAUGUGUGGAAUCUCUUUCAUGGUCUCUGACCACAGAGGGUUUUGUUUAUUAUCAGACCUCUGAGGCCUGCUCCUUAUCUCUGCUGCAGGGUGGAGGCUCGAAAUGACACAGCUCUAUAACACACAUGAAUCACUGACCCAACUGUUGGCAGUACAGUUGCAUUGUGGGAAAUCUAGGCAAACUGGGGCAAUAUUUAAGAUGAUAUCUCUACAGUGCUGCUUGAAAGUAAGUGAACCCCUUGAGCAAUUUUACCAUGAUUUUCUUAUUUUAUCAUCACCAGCUUAUAUAUAUAUAUAUGAAAUGGUGGGUUUAUGUUUAUCAAUUGCAUGUACUUGUUUUGAGUUGUGUGAGUAGCCAGAAAACUAUGUGAAACAUGGAAUUAGUGUAUGUGUAAGUGAACCCCCAGCUGCACUGGUAAAGUUAAGUAGGUAAAAGAUUCAGGUGAAACACAUUUGGGUGCUCAAUUAAUCAAGCAGACCAAUCAAAUGAGGCAUCCCUAGGAAAGGGUUUGAUUGAUUGAUUUGACUGAUUAAAUGAGAGGAAACCAACCAGAGCAUUGUACUGCCAAGGUGUACCCAUACAGAUCAACAAUGCAGAGAGGAGACACACAAUCAGGAAGAAGGUAGUGACCAUCUCCAAAAGAUUCCAGCUCCAUCCACCUACUGGAAGAAAAAUCAUUUACAAAUGGAGACAAUUCAACAUGACCACAACUCUGCCUAGAAGUGGAUGCCCAUCAGAACUAUCACCAAGAAGCAUCAAGGGAAAAAAAUCAGGUCUGCUUUACAAAUUGAAAUUUGGAUUUAUUAAGCUCUUCCACUCCUGUGUGCUGAUGCAUUCACGGGCUGCCCUGCCAGGACAAUGGUAGGGGAAACACUGCUGUUGUUGUGUCACGUCACCAGAUGUCAAACUGCGCUGACGCAAGUGGGCUACAGUUUCUAUUUGGAGUCAACACUCUUGCUACAUGUUUGAGUAGAAAUAGAUCUAUUCUUUUCCCAU
Long non-coding RNA from Lates calcarifer (barramundi perch), 1845 nucleotides. RefSeq lists it as uncharacterized. The transcript has 3 exons. The record is from RefSeq and is a predicted model, not a curated record. NCBI's taxonomy places the organism in Eukaryota, Metazoa, Chordata, Actinopteri, Centropomidae.